This 69-nucleotide transfer RNA is filed under the name Ochotona curzoniae (black-lipped pika). RNAcentral describes it as "tRNA-His". It matches the Rfam family "tRNA". From Rfam's summary of the family: Transfer RNA (tRNA) molecules are approximately 80 nucleotides in length. The record is from RNAcentral. Lineage: Eukaryota; Metazoa; Chordata; Mammalia; Lagomorpha; Ochotonidae.
GUAGAUGUAGUUUAAACAAAACACUAGAUUGUGAAUUUAGAAAUAGAGACUAGCAACCUCUUAUCUACC